GAAAAGGCUCUGAAACAGAUCCAAGAUGUUGUUUGAGCCAUGCAACUAGAAGAUCUCAUAGAACUAAAGUUAUCUAAUUUACAGAAAAGGUUUUACGUGACGUCUAUUGUACAGAUUCAUAUGAAAACCAUAGUUCAAACUCCAAGGUUUAAGAAGUAAGAAAGAUCAUGCCAUUUGCAACAAACAUGCAUGCAUAUUUGAAAAGCAACUAAAUUGUGACCAAUAAGAAUCCCAGAGAAGUUCUGCCCUAAUGGAGUCAACUUGAUUUGAGAUGCAAAUAGAUUUGCGCAAUUGAAAAAGUGGGAAGAUGAAGUGUUUGGAGGGCUUUUAAAUGGAGUAAAAUGGAAACAAAGACAAGUUAUCCCAACACCAAAAAGAGUAGGGGAUAGAAGGAUAUGUCAAGGUUUGAAAACCAUCCUUCAGAAAUGCAGGAAAGUCAAAGCUAGAAAUUUCUUUUAUGGUACCCAGGAUUUGUUUUAAUUAAGUUUGAUAAGGCACACAGGCACGAACGUGAUUGUGGUUAAUAAAGGCAUUUGCAUUAUUCUCACGGUCUCCUAAAAAUAGAAGGCCCAGCACACUAUGCCUGGGAAGUAUCUGCAUGAGAUGAGCAGGCAGAGAGGAGAGCUGAGGGCAGGGCCUUGACUGGAGUUUUUGUUGGGAGGAAUGGACAAUGGAAAGCACGCAAGCCAAAUCUGUUGUGGGAAAACUAGAAGACCAAAAAAAGCACGAAAGUCAAGAAAGAAGUCUCUUUUCACAUGAAAGUGGCCUGAAGACAAAUACUGCUAUGAAUGGUUACAUCUAGGACUUCUGAAAUUAGCCCCAGAUUCAACUCAUUUUUUUCUGCAUUUGCUGAGCAAUAUGACAUGUUUACACCGAUUAGCUAAAAAGUUAUGUGAAGAAUGGGCAACAAUAUCUCUAAGUAACUAGGAGACCAUGUCCCUUGGCAUAAGUAUUGAUCUUCAAUAAUUUGUCCUUGAUAUUGAGAGAAGAGGAUCAAACUAUUUGAACCGGAUUGCUGUACUUCAACAUGUAAAGUGAAAAUGCAGACCCAGUUGACUAUAUUUCACUCAUUUGGGCCAAAGAAGCAGAAGUUUAUUAACAAAGAAGGAGAAUAACAAAAGAAAUAUAAGAUGGAAAGAAAAGCAAAAAGAAAGAAAACUAAAGAAAAAGCAAAAGAAAGAAUACUAAAUCUGAAAUACAUUUUCGUCCCCAAAUCAAGUUGGUGCAUAAAGUUCAAAUGUUUUCCUGA
This 1249-nucleotide long non-coding RNA is filed under the name Homo sapiens (human). RNAcentral's name for it is "HSALNT0318944". The record is from RNAcentral. Lineage: Eukaryota; Metazoa; Chordata; Mammalia; Primates; Hominidae.